AAGAACUGACUCAUUGGAAAAGACCCUGAUACUGGGAAAGACUGAAGCCUUUCUUGUCUUUAACAGUGGCCAUGUGACCACUGAGAAGUGAAGGAAGGCCCAUCCAAGGGCUUCCGGGAAGAGACUGGUGCUACUAUUUCCCCCUCUUCCUGCCUGGAAUGAGCAUGUUAAGGCACAAAUCUGCAGGAGUCAUCUUAGAGCUGUGAGGUGGAUGAACGAAACAUGCUAAAGAAGGAAAAGCAGAAAGAGAGUUGUUACAACGCUGUGUAUAAGCACCACCGUCGCUCGUUUCCCUACUUCCUGAUUCCUUCCGAGACAAAUGAACUCACUGUUUAAGCCCUGCUAGUUAGGGUUUCUGAUAGUCGCAGUCACAUACAUGCCUGACGGGUACCCUUCCUUCCCGCUCCUUCUUUCUAUACCAUGCUUCCUCUCAUUGCACGGGCUAGGGUCUCAGGGGCAGUGUCCAACAGGGACGGCAGUAAGAGUGAGGGCAGCAGUGGUCAUCCUUGAACUGUCUCUGCUUUUAAUGAGGAAAUAUUAACAGAAUACUUCUAAAGCCUCCCUACUAAGAAAACUGUUUGCUUUGGGGUUUUGGUUGAAGACAACCAUCAGGUUCAGAAAAUUCUCUUCUACUUCUAUUCUGCCCAGAAGAUUUUCUCUUAUUAUUAAUGUUGAAUUGUGUUUUAUGAUUUUUAAAUUUUGAUGUGUAUUAAGAUGAUCAUAGAGUUUUUCUUUAUUAAUCUGUUAAUGUGGUGAAUUGUAUUGUUCGAUUUUUCUAAUGUUGAAUCCGCCACAUAUCCUUCCUUGAUUAUGAUGAAUGUAAAAACAUACUGCUAACUUUUUAUUUUUGGAUGAUACUUGCUUUACAGUGUUGUGGUGGUCUCUACCAUACAUCAGUAUGAAUCGGUCUUUUAUACUGGUUGUACAUACCCCCUCCCUCUUGAGUCUCUCUCCCCCCACAUGUCACUCUUCUAGGCUGUCACGGAGCACCAGGCUGGGCUCCCUGUUACCCAGCAGUUUCCUGCUAGUUAUAUAUUUCACACAUUAUAGUCAUACUGCUAACUUGUAUGUAGAAUGCUAUUUUUUAUGUUCCUGAGAUUGACUUAUAUAUUUUUUCUUGCAGUCCUCAUCUAGUUUUGGUACCAAAGUUUUAGUAGCUUCAUAAAACCAGCUGGCAAGCUCGCCUUCUUUUGUUUCCCUAUGGCAUUUAAUAUACGAAUUACCUGAUCUUUAAAAUUGGUAAAGCUUGCCUAUAAAAGACCUGAGGCCUUUUUUGUUUGGUAUAUUUGUGUGUGUGUGUAAGUAUGCACAUGUCCGUUCUGUAAGACAGAUAUUUUUACCUACCAAGUCAAAUUUU
Bubalus bubalis (water buffalo) is the source of this 1357-nucleotide long non-coding RNA. RefSeq lists it as uncharacterized. The record is from RefSeq and is a predicted model, not a curated record. The transcript has 2 exons. NCBI's taxonomy places the organism in Eukaryota, Metazoa, Chordata, Mammalia, Artiodactyla, Bovidae.